RNAcentral lists this ribosomal RNA (504 nucleotides) under Pseudomonas sp. L38. Its description in RNAcentral is "bacterial SSU rRNA". It matches the Rfam family "Bacterial small subunit ribosomal RNA", at positions 9 to 507 of the family's 1533-position model. Lineage: Bacteria; Pseudomonadati; Pseudomonadota; Gammaproteobacteria; Pseudomonadales; Pseudomonadaceae. The record is from RNAcentral.
AAGUUNNACCUGGCUCAGAUUGAACGCUGGCGGCAGGCCUAACACAUGCAAGUCGAGCGGCAGCACGGGUACUUGUACCUGGUGGCGAGCGGCGGACGGGUGAGUAAUGCCUAGGAAUCUGCCUGAUAGUGGGGGAUAACGCUCGGAAACGGACGCUAAUACCGCAUACGUCCUACGGGAGAAAGCAGGGGACCUUCGGGCCUUGCGCUAUCAGAUGAGCCUAGGUCGGAUUAGCUAGUUGGUGGGGUAAUGGCUCACCAAGGCGACGAUCCGUAACUGGUCUGAGAGGAUGAUCAGUCACACUGGAACUGAGACACGGUCCAGACUCCUACGGGAGGCAGCAGUGGGGAAUAUUGGACAAUGGGCGAAAGCCUGAUCCAGCCAUGCCGCGUGUGUGAAGAAGGUCUUCGGAUUGUAAAGCACUUUAAGUUGGGAGGAAGGGCAGUUACCUAAUACGUAUCUGUUUUGACGUUACCGACAGAAUAAGCACGGCUAACUAAUGUG